RNAcentral lists this long non-coding RNA (1447 nucleotides) under Homo sapiens (human). Its description in RNAcentral is "HSALNT0343459". Lineage: Eukaryota; Metazoa; Chordata; Mammalia; Primates; Hominidae. The record is from RNAcentral.
CUUAGUCAACUAUAAAGCAUUGUAUUAUAUAAAUAUGAAGUAAUGUUAAAACUAAAUUAUACUUGAGGAUUUUGUGGUAGCAUGUGAAAUAACUGGAAAAAGUAUAAUGUAACAAAAUCUGGGCUGAGAAUAUUUGUAAUACAUACUCAUACUAAUAGAACUGCAAGAAUUUGCUUUUUGCCUGUGUCAGACUUUGUUAAUGACACCACAGAAUCGAUUGUGUUUUGAGUUUUGUGGCCAAGUCACAGCUGAGGUCCAAGCAAUCAACCAGUUUAUCUUCUAGGAGUCUCAAAGUUACUGAACUGGCUAUUUUGGUACUUUAAUAUAAUGUUAGCUUGCUGGUACUAUGUGGAAGAGCCACUCUCUUAAUAUAAAAUAUUCACGUUCUGAUGAUAAAUUUUCUAUCAAACUUUGAGAGCAUUUCUAUAUUUGAUACUUGGAGUUGAAUUAUAGUCAUACUUCAUUUUUGUAUUAUCGUCAUACUUUAUGCUGUGGAAAACUGAGGAAUUAAAAAUGAGUAGCCAAGAUCAUUUCCCUUAAUGGUGAUGUGAAGAGGAUAGGUGAUUCUCUUUCUGAAUAAAACAAGCGUAAAACUGGAUGAGAUUGUCCAAAAUGGUCGUUUCUGGGCACUGGAAACAAAAGGCAGAUAAUAGAUUGAGAAGCGUUAUUGAUACACUGAAUCUUUGGAUGAAUGGAUAAGCAAAUUGUGGUAUAUCUAUAGAAUGGAAUAAUACUCAGUAAUGAAAAGGAAUGGACUAUUGAUACAUACAGUGACAUGUAUGCAUUGCAAAAUAAUAACAUGCUGUGUGAAAGAAGCCAGACACCUUUUCCUACAAAACAGAAUACUGAUUCCAUUUAGGUGAAAUUCUAGAAAAUGCAAGCUAAUCUGUAGUGACAGUAGAUCAGUGCCUGCAGAUCAGAGGAUGGCUUGGGAGAGGAGGGAGAAAGGGAUUCCAAAGGAAAGAGCACAAUGAAACGUUUGGGGGUGAUGUAUAUAUUCAUUAUUUGAUUAUGUCUAAUGAUUUCAUGGGUGUAUACAUAUGUCAAAACUCAUUGUAUAUUUAAAUAUGUGCAAUUUAUUGUAUAUCAAGAGUAACUCAGUAAAGUUAUAAAAACUAAAACUAUGCCCAUUCAAAAAGCAAACAGAUGUUCAUAGUACCAUUAUUCACAGUAGACAAAAACUGGAAACAAUCCAAAUCCAUCAACCGGUGAAUAGAUAAACAAAAUUUGGUAUGUCCAUAUCAGCCAUGAAAAGGAAUAAAAUUCUGAUUCAUGCCACGGGUACAUACUACAAUAUGGUUGAACCUCAGAAACAUUAUGCCAAGUGAAAGGGCUCUGUAUUGUAUGAUACCAUGAUAUGAAACUUUUAGAACAGGCAAAACCUUAGAUCAGAUCAGUACUUUGCCUGGGUGUAGGGUGGCAGCAUGGAGAUUGGUUUUAAACAGGC